RNAcentral lists this signal recognition particle RNA (298 nucleotides) under Cebus imitator (Panamanian white-faced capuchin). RNAcentral describes it as "Metazoan signal recognition particle RNA (ENSCCAG00000006663.1)". It matches the Rfam family "Metazoan signal recognition particle RNA". From Rfam's summary of the family: The signal recognition particle (SRP) is a universally conserved ribonucleoprotein. It is involved in the co-translational targeting of proteins to membranes. The record is from RNAcentral. Lineage: Eukaryota; Metazoa; Chordata; Mammalia; Primates; Cebidae.
GCUGGGCAUGAUGGCACGUGCCUAUAGUCCCAGCUACUCAGGAGGCUGAGGCUGGUGGAUUGCUUGAGUCCAAGAGUUCUGGGAUGUAGUGCGCUAUGCCAAUCGGGUGUCUGCACAAAGUUCGGCAACACUAUGGUAACCUCCUAGGAGCAGGGGACCACCAGGUUGCCUAAGGAGGGGUAAAUAGACCCAGGUCGGAAAAGGAGCAGGUCAAAACUCCCAUGCUGAUCAGUAGCACAUUCCGCCUGUGAAUAGCCACUGCACUCCAGCCUGGGUAACAUAGCGAGACCCCACCCCC